RNAcentral lists this ribosomal RNA (542 nucleotides) under Arbela tabida. RNAcentral describes it as "partial large subunit ribosomal RNA". It matches the Rfam family "Bacterial large subunit ribosomal RNA", at positions 1804 to 2612 of the family's 2925-position model. Lineage: Eukaryota; Metazoa; Arthropoda; Insecta; Hemiptera; Nabidae. The record is from RNAcentral.
UUUUCCAAAACAUGUCUUUUUGAUGGUUUAAUUUAAAGUCUGCCCUGCUCAGUGAUUGAAUUAAAUAGCUGCAGUAUCUUGACUGUACUAAGGUAGCAUAAUCAUUUGUUCUUUAAUUAGGGACUGGAAUGAAUGGGUUGAUAAGGGAUUAUCUUUCUUUAUUAUAGUAGUAUAACUUAAUUUGUAGGUAAAAAAGCUUACAUUUAUUUAAUAGACGAGAAGACCCUUUAGAACUUUAUUAUAAUAAAGUUAUGUUAUUUAUAAGGAGAUUAUAGAGGGGUAAUUAUAUUAUAAUUUUGUUGGGGAGAUAGUUUAAUAUGUUUAACUUAAACUGAUAAUAAAUCAUUGAUUUAUGAUUAAAAUAGAUCCUAUUUUAUAGAUUAAAAGACUAAGUUACCUAAGGGAUAACAGCGUAAUUUUACUGUAGAGUUCUUAUUAAUAGUAAAGAUUGCGACCUCGAUGUUGGAUUAAAAUUAGUAUUAGGUGUAGUGGCUAAAUUACUAAGUCUGUUCGACUUUUAAAAUUUUACAUGAUUAGUUUUU